GAUGAACGCUGGCGGCGUGCCUAAUACAUGCAAGUCGAGCGAACAGACGAGGAGCUUGCUCCUCUGACGUUAGCGGCGGACGGGUGAGUAACACGUGGAUAACCUACCUAUAAGACUGGGAUAACUUCGGGAAACCGGAGCUAAUACCGGAUAAUAUAUUGAACCGCAUGGUUCAAUAGUGAAAGACGGUUUUGCUGUCACUUAUAGAUGGAUCCGCGCCGCAUUAGCUAGUUGGUAAGGUAACGGCUUACCAAGGCAACGAUGCGUAGCCGACCUGAGAGGGUGAAGGGGCACACUGGGACUGAGACACGGUCCAGACUCCGACGGGAGGCAGAAGUAGGGAAUCUUCCGCAAUGGGCGAAAGCCUGACGGAGCAACGCCGCGUGAGUGAUGAAGGUCUGCGGAUCGUAAAACUCUGUUAUUAGGGAAGAACAAAUGUGUAAGUAACUAUGCACGGCUUGACGGUACCUAAUCAAAAAGCCACGGCUAACUACGUG
This 497-nucleotide ribosomal RNA is filed under the name uncultured bacterium. RNAcentral's name for it is "partial 16S ribosomal RNA". It matches the Rfam family "Bacterial small subunit ribosomal RNA", at positions 28 to 507 of the family's 1533-position model. The record is from RNAcentral.